This 108-nucleotide small nuclear RNA is filed under the name Propithecus coquereli (Coquerel's sifaka). Lineage: Eukaryota; Metazoa; Chordata; Mammalia; Primates; Indriidae. The record is from RNAcentral.
GUGCUCUCUCCGGCAGCACAUGUCCUAAAAUUGAAACAAUACGGAGCAGAUUAAGCAUGGCUCAUGUGAAAAUAUGAUGUGCACAUUCUUGAAAAGCUCCAUAUUUUG